UGGCUCAGAGCGAACGUUAGCGGCGGGCUUAACACAUGCAAGUCGAACGCGAACACCCCUUCGGGGGCAAGUANAGUGGCGCACGGGUGAGUAACACGUAGGCAAUCUCCCCUCUGGUGGGGGACAAGCGUCCGAAAGGACGUCUAAUACCGCAUAAGACCACAGCACCCACGGGUGCAGGGGUAAAAGGUGGCUUCGGCUACCACCAGAGGAUGAGCCUGCGGACCAUCAGCUUGUUGGUGGGGUAACGGCCUACCAAGGCUAAGACGGUUAGCUGGUCUGAGAGGAUGAUCAGCCACACUGGCACUGAAACACGGGCCAGACUCCUACGGGAGGCAGCAGUGGGGAAUAUUGGACAAUGGGCGAAAGCCUGAUCCAGCCACGCCGCGUGAGUGAUGAAGGCCUUCGGGUUGUAAAGCUCUGUGGGGAGGGACGAAAAAGGUACGGAAGAUAACGCCGUGCCCUUGACGGUACCUCCUUAGCAAGCACCGGCUAACUCUGUGCCAGCAGCCGCGGUAAGACAGAGGGUGCGAACGUUGCUCGGAAUCACUGGGCGUAAAGCGCGUGUAGGCUGAUACGCAAGUCAGGUGUGAAAUCCCUGGGCUCAACCCAGGAACUGCAUCUGAAACUGCGUGUCUGGAGUGUCGGAGAGGGAAGCGGAAUUCCUGGUGUAGAGGUGAAAUUCGUAGAUAUCAGGAGGAACACCGGUGGCGAAGGCGGCUUCCUGGACGAUUACUGACGCUGAGACGCGAAAGCGUGGGGAGCAAACAGGA
RNAcentral lists this ribosomal RNA (773 nucleotides) under uncultured Myxococcales bacterium. Its description in RNAcentral is "bacterial SSU rRNA". It matches the Rfam family "Bacterial small subunit ribosomal RNA", at positions 20 to 777 of the family's 1533-position model. The record is from RNAcentral. Lineage: Bacteria; Pseudomonadati; Myxococcota; Myxococcia; Myxococcales.